AUAUUUUAUUUAGAAUAUAAACU
Molecule: transfer RNA, 23 nt
Filed under: Schistosoma japonicum
Lineage: Eukaryota; Metazoa; Platyhelminthes; Trematoda; Strigeidida; Schistosomatidae
Description: partial tRNA-Pro
Source: RNAcentral